Molecule: transfer-messenger RNA, 228 nt
Filed under: Actinomycetes bacterium
Lineage: Bacteria; Bacillati; Actinomycetota; Actinomycetes
Description: Actinobacteria bacterium partial transfer-messenger RNA
Rfam family: transfer-messenger RNA
About the family: Bacterial tmRNA, also known as 10Sa RNA or SsrA, is named for its dual tRNA and mRNA-like properties.
Source: RNAcentral
GGGGGCGAUCAGGUUUCGACGUGGUCGAUUCUCCGGUUGAGCUGCAAGCCGAGGUCCCCGGUCGGCCUCGUAAAACAACCGGGAACAAACGCAAGUGCGAAGAACCAAAACGCACUCGCUCUCGCUGCCUAAACCACAGUGAGGCGCGUCGCUCCGGGCUCGGCCCGUGGCUCGGGUAGCGGCGUCAGAAAACGGGCUCGGCGCCUAGGGAGAGCCAAUCGCCCGAAG